RNAcentral lists this long non-coding RNA (1513 nucleotides) under Papio anubis (olive baboon). RNAcentral's name for it is "lncRNA (ENSPANG00000039436.1)". Lineage: Eukaryota; Metazoa; Chordata; Mammalia; Primates; Cercopithecidae. The record is from RNAcentral.
UUCCCGGAACUGGAGGGCGGAGGUUCAGUGAGCGAGAUUGUGCCACUGCACUCCAGCCUGAGCCACAGAGUGAGACCCGUCAAAAAAAAAAAAAAAGCUUUUGUGGGAUGAAAUAGAAAGUAUUUCUGUUUGUUUGUUUUAUAAGUUCAUUUGAUGUAUUGGACGAUCAGUGGUUAGUUCUUUAUCCAUUGAUCAGAUUUUGAAAAUGGUAAAUUGCCAUGGUAACCAAAGUAUAGAGCUUGUUUGUUGAAUCUUUCAUCCCUCGCCAUGCUUUCUGGACAACCUUGAUACGUAUGGUCAAUCCUAUCUUCGGGCCCAAACAGCUUUGUUGAGCCUAGUAUCAAUGUGCACAUCUGGAGUGCCCAUCUCCUUCAUGGCAAAUUUUUGGAUCUCUUUGAGCGCCCAAGGGGCACACUUCCUGAAGUCCAUGCUAUGGAUGCGCUUGUGAAUGUUGAUGGCAGAAAGGCUCUUCUUCUUGCCAUCCUUCUUUGCAGGACCCAUCAUGCUGGCCCAAGGUGGAAAGCAAGAGAACUACAGAUUGUGGGAGAAAGAAAGCAGCGGUUCCCUGAAGGUAUUUCUUGAAACACUGGAGGAGAAUGGAGCUAGCUCAAAUGGGAAUAGUGCAUGUGGAAACAGCAGAAAGCCUCCCAACACUCAUUUUGUGCAGUGAGUCUCCUAUCCUGACCACAGCGAAUUGGACCAGGUGAGGGUACCUGAGCUAACCUGGGCUAGGGUCCCUUUCCCAGGAACUUUGAAUUAACACUAAGGGAUCCUCGCUUAUGUUCUGGCUGCUCUAUUAAAUGGAGACAAUGCAAAAAUGGGAGCUUGACCUGCCAUUUUGCCCGACCUAGCCUGCCCCUCAGAGAAAGUGAGAGGAGAAUGACUGAAGCCCAAUCACAGCAAGGGACAGAGACAAAAAGACCUGAGUGCUUUUCCAUCCUACGCUAGUCUCUGCUUGCUGAGGCUAAGUGCAUCCCUGCCCAGAAUCCUAAUAGCAAUUAUCCCCCUGUGCCUAUGCCAGCUCCAGUAAGUCCCUGGUAAAGCUCCUGCUGCUCCAUCUCAGGAGAAUCCCGGAUCCUGAUCAGUGCCUCAAUAUUGCAGAACAGAGGGAGUGAGGGAAAUAUUUAAUUUCCAACUCUGAAGGUCUACCAUGGAGAAGAGAGGAGCAGAAGGAAGAACUUAAUACUGGUGGAGCACUUGGUAAAAUGAAAAUAAAUAUUCUUUUUCUUUUUUUGAGAUGGAGUUUCACUCUUGUCUCCCAGGCUCGAGUGCAAUGGCGCAAUCUCGGCUCACUGCAACCUCCGCCUCCCGGGUUCAAGUGAUUCUCCUGCCUCAGUCUCCUGAGUAGCUGGGAUUACAGGCGCCCACCAUCACACUCGGCUAAUUUUUGUAUUUUUAGAAGAGAUGGGGUUUCACCACGUUGGCCAGGCUGCUCUUGAACUCCUAACCUCAGGUGAUUCACCCACCUCAGCCUCCCAAAGCGCUGGGAUUACAGAAAUGAGCCACUGCACCU